UGGGGAAUAUUGCGCAAUGGGGGGAACCCGUGACGCAGCAACGCCGCGUGAAGGAAGAAGGUUUUCGGAUUGUAAACUUCAGCAAGCAGGGAAGAAAUAAAUGACGGUACCUGAACAAAAGCCACGGCUAACUACGUGCC
This 140-nucleotide ribosomal RNA is filed under the name uncultured bacterium. RNAcentral describes it as "partial 16S ribosomal RNA". It matches the Rfam family "Bacterial small subunit ribosomal RNA", at positions 355 to 509 of the family's 1533-position model. The record is from RNAcentral.